AGAGCGCACGGAGGAUGCCUUGGCUUCGGCAGGCGAAGAAGGACGCGGUAAGCUGCGAAAAUGUCCGGGGAUUUGCAAACGGGAGUUGAUCCGGACGUGUCCGAAUGGGGCAACCCGCACGGCUGAAGGCCGUGCACCGGCGCGAGCCGGGGCGAACCCGGGGAACUGAAACAUCUUAGUACCCGGAGGAGAAGAAAGAAACAGUCGAUUCCCUUAGUAGUGGCGAUCGAAGAGGGAGGAGCCUAAACCGCCGCGUUCGAGGACGCGGCGGGGUUGUAGGACCGGCGAUGUCCGCAUCCGCGCAAACCGGAGCAUGUCUGGAAAGCGUGGGCGCAGAGGGUGACACCCCCGUACGGGUAACGUGCGGAUGCGGAUGCCGGCACCUGAGUAGGGCGGGGCACGUGGAAUCCUGUCCGAAUCAGCGGGGACCAUCCCGCAAGGCUGAAGACUGCCGAAGACCGAUAGUGUACCAGUACCGUGAGGGAAAGGUGGGAAGCACCCCGGGAGGGGAGUGAAAUAGAGCCUGAAACCGUGCGCUUGCAAGCGGUCGGAGCACCAUUAUGGUGUGACGGCGUGCCUUUUGCAUAAUGAGCCUACGAGUUGCCUCACGCCGGCGAGGCUAAGCCAUUCAGUGGCGGAGCCGCAGCGAGAGCGAGUCUGAACAGGGCGUUCAGUCGGCGUGAGCAGACGCGAAACCUAGUGAUCUACCCUUGUCCAGGGUGAAGGGGCCGUAACAGGCUCUGGAGGCCCGAACCAGUUUCCGUUGAAAAGGGCUUGGAUGAGGCGAGGGUAGGAGUGAAAGGCCAAUCAAACUGGGAGAUAGCUCGUACUCCCCGAAAUGUCUUUAGGGACAGCCUCGUCAGUUUCCCGCGUGAGGUAGAGCUACCGAUUGGAAGCGAGGGCUUCGCCGCCUAUCAAUUCCAGACGAACUCCGAAUGCGCGCGGUGAUCUAUGACGGGAGUGAGUCGUCGGGUGCUAAUAUCCGGCGGCGAGAGGGUAAGAGCCCAGACCUCCGGCCAAGGCCCCCAAGAACGGUCUAAGUUGAGACAGAACGAAGUGGCACCGCAGAGACAGCCAGGAUGUUAGCUUGGAAGCAGCUAUUCAUUCAAAGAGUGCGUAACAGCUCACUGGUCGAGCGGAGCCGCGUGGAUGAUGAUCGGGCAUCAAGACCGUCGCCGAAGCCGAGGACGACGCGCCAUAGCGCGCGCCGUGGUAGGGGAGCAUUCCGGUCGGCGCCGAAGGCGCGGCGCGAGCCGUGCUGGAGCGUCCGGAAAAGAAAAUGUAGGCAUGAGUAACGACAAGAGAUGUGUGAACAUCUCCGCCGAAAACCCAAGGUUUCCGGGGCCACGCUAAACGGCCCCGGGUCAGCCGGGAGCUAAGGGUAAGCCGAACGGUGAUCCCGAUGCCGAUGCGGUCAACAUUCCGCAGCCGGCGCGCCAGGCGCACACGCGACCGAGGAGUGACACUGCCGCGGGGAGACGGAAUUCCCCGUUGAAGGCCGUAGGGAGACCGAAAGCCGACAGUACGGCGAGCCUUCGGGCGAGCCGACAGAGCAGGUAACCAUACUCGCGAGAAAAGCGUGUGCGCGCCAAGCGUCGCGCCGCCCGUACCGUAAACCGACACAGGUGGGUGGGGAGAGAAUCCUGAGGCGCUCGAGUGAAUCACGGCCAAGGAACUAGGCAAAUUGACCCCGUAACUUCGGGAUAAGGGGUCCCGCGGCGACGCGGGCGCAGAGAAAUGGCCCAGGCGACUGUUUACCAAAAACAUAUGGCUAUGCGAAAUCGAUAAGAUGACGAAUAUGGCCUGACACCUGCCCGGUGCCGGAAGGUUAAGAGGGGGGGUCACCGAAAGGGAAGCCCUGAAUUGAAGCCCCGGUAAACGGCGGCCGUAACUAUAACGGUCCUAAGGUAGCGAAAUUCCUUGUCGGGUAAGUUCCGACCUGCACGAAUGGUGUAACGAUCUGGGCGCUGUCUCAGCCGUGAGCUCGGUGAAAUUGUAGUGGCGGUGAAGAUGCCGCCUACCCGCAGAAGGACGGAAAGACCCUAUAGACCUUAACUGUAAGCUGUCAUUGUUUCUUCGGUUUUAAUGCUCAGAGUAAGUGGGAGACGCUGAAGACGCCCUUUAGGGGGCGUCCGAGUCAUCAAUGAGACACCACCCUUUGAAACUGGAGGAUCUAACCCUGAGCCGUGAAUCCGGCCAGAGGACCGUGUCAGCCGGUCAGUUUUACUGGGGCGGUAUCCUCCCAAAGAGUAACGGAGGAGCGCGAAGGUGGGCUCAGCCCGGUUGGCAACCGGGUGUCGAGUGCAUGGGCAUAAGCCCGCCUAACUGUGAGACCAACAAGUCGAGCAGAUGCGAAAGCAGGCCCAAGUGAUCCGGCGGUAGAAAGUGGAAUUGCCGUCGCUCAACGGAUAAAAGGUACCUUAGGGAUAACAGGCUGAUCACGCCCAAGAGUUCAUAUCGACGGCGUGGUUUGGCACCUCGAUGUCGGCUCGUCGCAUCCUGGGGCUGGAGAAGGUCCCAAGGGUCCGGCUGUUCGCCGGUUAAAGCGGCACGCGAGCUGGGUUCAGAACGUCGCGAGACAGUUCGGUCCUCUAUCCUCUGUGGGCGUUGGAAAAUUGAGGGGUUCAGACCUUAGUACGAGAGGACCGGGUCUGACGCACCACUGGUGCAUCGGUUGUACUGUCAAGUGCAUGGCCGAGUAGCUAAGUGCGGACGGGAUAAGCGCUGAAAGCAUCUAAGCGCCAAGCCCUUCCCAAGAUGAGUUUUCCCUACAGGUUCGUGGAAGACCACCACGUUGAUAGGUCGCAGGUGUAAGUGCAGCAAUGUAUUGAGCCGAGCGAUACUAAUUACCAAUUGACUUCAUC
RNAcentral lists this ribosomal RNA (2864 nucleotides) under human gut metagenome. Its description in RNAcentral is "bacterial LSU rRNA". It matches the Rfam family "Bacterial large subunit ribosomal RNA". The record is from RNAcentral.